UAUGGCUCAGGAUGAACGCUGGCGGCGUGCUUAAUACAUGCAAGUCGAACGAAGCGCUUACAGCCGAUCCCUUCGGGGUGAAGCAGUUGUGACUUAGUGGCGGACGGGUGAGUAACGCGUGGGUAACCUGCCUCAUGCGGGGGGAUAACAGUUAGAAAUGACUGCUAAUACCGCAUAAGCGCACAGUACCGCAUGGUACAGUGUGAAAAGAUUUAUCGGCAUGAGAUGGACCCGCGUCUGAUUAGGUAGUUGGUGAGGUAACGGCCCACCAAGCCGACGAUCAGUAGCCGACUUGAGAGAGUGAUCGGCCACAUUGGGACUGAGACACGGCCCAGACUCCUACGGGAGGCAGCAGUAGGGAAUAUUGCACAAGUAGGGGGAAACCCUGAUGCAAGCGACGCCGCGUGAGUGAAGAAGUAUUUCGGUACGUAAAGCUCUAUCAGCAGGGAAGAUAAUGACGGUACCUGACUAAGAAGCCCCGGCUAACUACGUGCCAGCAGCAGC
Molecule: ribosomal RNA, 504 nt
Filed under: uncultured bacterium
Lineage: Bacteria
Description: bacterial SSU rRNA
Rfam family: Bacterial small subunit ribosomal RNA
Source: RNAcentral